AUGGUGUUUUGAUCUUCUAUAAAACAUUUGGCCUGCUCACUGAAAAUUAAAGAGCUGCAGUAUUAUGACUGUACAAAGGUAGCAUAAUCAUUAGUCUUUUAAUUGAUGACUGGUAUGAAAGGUUAGACGGAAUUAUUUUGUCUUAAGUUUAUUAAUAGAAAUUUUCUUUUGUGUAAAAAGACACAGGUAAUUUUAAGGGACAAGAAGACCCUUUUAAACUUUAAAGGUUUUAUAUUUUGAUACUAAUAAAAAUUAGAUUAUUUAAAUUUUUUGCUGGGGCGGUAGAUAUGAUUGCGAUAUUAUUAAUAAACGAUUAAUAAAUGGAUUUUAAUUAUGACCCAUUGUUUUGAGUUAAAGAAUAAGUUACUAAAGGGAUAACAGCGUAAUGUUUUUUAAGAGUUCAUAUUGACGGAAAUGUUUGCGA
Molecule: ribosomal RNA, 424 nt
Filed under: Nepalmatoiulus birmanicus
Lineage: Eukaryota; Metazoa; Arthropoda; Diplopoda; Julida; Julidae
Description: partial small subunit ribosomal RNA
Source: RNAcentral